CGAUUGGUCCGGCCUGGCCGGCUCCGGUUAGCGGAGGGCUCUGAUUGGGCGGGGCGGGGAUGAGGCCGACGGGGCGAGAGAGCCAGAAGGAAAGAGAGGAGGCCGGCCCGGGGACGGAUAGGAGGGUGGGCUCCCUAAGAGGUCAGCCAGGAGAGAAUGCAAAUUUUCUUUCCAAAAUGGAGAAACUGCAGAAAUAAUUUACCAAAAGGAGAAGGAAAAGUAAGAAAGGCAAGUAUUAAUCGUGUUUGACAAAUUUUAAAAAAAAAUCUUCAAAGCCUUAUACUAUGUACCUUUUAUCAAAGCUCGUGGUGGCCUCUAUUUCUGCUUUCUAUAAUAUUCCAUAAUCCCCAUGUUGCUUCACAUUCUGCAUAAGAUUGCUGGGCUUGCUGACUUUUGUAUCCAGGGAAACCUGUGCUUUGAGCAUAAUAAAACUGCAGUGUUCUCUCUGUGUUGUUGAUUUGAUGAUUGACAGCGUAAUUUUUAUGUUAUCAUUCUGGAUUACAUUCACAUAAAUUAGGGUCUUUUCCAUCUUUUGACCUUUCCCAAGAAUCUAAAAAGGGCUUUUGGGGAAAAAAAUCAUACACACACAUAUACUUUUUCAGUUCUGUUGUAAAUUAGGGUUUCAAUAGGUUUUCACAAGUGGCAAAUAGGUUAGUUUGAGCAAUUCCCAAAGAAGUUAUUCUUUUAUUACUUGAAGAGACCCUUUCUAUGUGAGGAUGAGCUGAGUCAGUCAAUAAAAAUUUAUUUAAUACUUUAUUUAACACAAAAGACAAAAGAUAGCCCUAGUUCUCAAGGCCCUCAUAAAAUAAUGGGGGAGACAAUAUGCAAACAGCUAUGUUCAAACAGCUAUGUACAAACAAGCUAUAUACAGGAUAAACAGAAAAUAAUUAACAGAAGCCACUAGAAUUAAGAGAGAUUAGGAAAGGCUUUCUGGAGAAAAUGAGAUUUUAGUUGAAGGAAGCCAAUAGACUAGGGUAAGGAAGAAGAGCAAUCCAGACAGUCUAAGACUUGUUACCUUGCCUUAUGACUAGAAUUGAGAUAAAAUGAUGCACAUUAAAAUGUUUUACUCACUAAUCAAGUUGGACACAUCAGAAUAUACCUUAAUCCCCAUUGUCACUUCCAAACUAUCUCUUAUCACUAUCACUCAGUAAAGUGCUCCUUUAAAUUCAUUCAAUCAAAAUUUAUUACCCAAUAAGGAUUCUAGAAGUUUCUAUUUACUAACCCUAAAAAUAUUUUCUUUCUGUAAGUGAAAUAUUGGCUUAUAGUCUCUCUACACCUCAAUUUUUGCUCUUGUACCAGGGGACUUCAACAUAUAUAUUGAGUUUACUAACUUCCCUGUCCACAGUCUUCUCAAAUUUCAUGACAUAUUCUGCAUUUCACCUCAAUUACAUACAAAGAUACCCUUAAUCUUUCCAUCACCUAUAAGAA
Molecule: long non-coding RNA, 1428 nt
Filed under: Sarcophilus harrisii (Tasmanian devil)
Lineage: Eukaryota; Metazoa; Chordata; Mammalia; Dasyuromorphia; Dasyuridae
Description: lncRNA (ENSSHAG00000021742.1)
Source: RNAcentral